Molecule: long non-coding RNA, 537 nt
Filed under: Anser cygnoides (Swan goose)
Lineage: Eukaryota; Metazoa; Chordata; Aves; Anseriformes; Anatidae
Description: lncRNA (ENSACDG00005003977.1)
Source: RNAcentral
CCAGGCCUGGCUGAGCUGGAGAGCAUUGCGUGUCUGGCACGCCUCAGGCAGGUGCUGGGCGCAAACAUGGCUGCUGGCCGUGAGGCAGAGGGAGCGGGGAGCGCCCAGGUGGGAGAAUCAUGGCUAUUAAGGCCUAGUGGUGCUCGCAGGGCUCUGAGGUGUGCGUCCUAAAGAAAAAUACAGAGGAGAGGAGAGAGUUGGAAGAAAACUCUUACAUAAUAAUGAAGUUUAUGAAGGGAGACUGAAAUGAAAAUCUCAAUUUAAUCUUAUCACUCCAAGUCAACUGUAUGACAGAACUUUCCAGAACACCUGCCAGCCAGAGAGGUACCAAAUUACAAGACAGCCUGAGCUUCAGGAAUAGUUUCAAAACCCCCAGACAACUCCAAGUUUCUCUUUUAUGUGCAGUAUUGGAGGAGGGAGCUCACAGGAAGGAGUGCUUCAAAUUGGAAGAAUACCUGUACUCUUUAGGUAUGUAACAGUUAAAAACUUUUUACAAAUACCUACAAUAAAAAUAUUCAAACUAAAAUAAAAAAUACA